GGAAGGAUCAUUACCGAAUUGUCAAACAUGGGUUGUUGCUGGCCCCCGAACGGGGCAUGUGCACGCUCUGUUUACACAUCCACUCACACCUGUGCACCCUCUGUAGUUCUGUGGACCGGGAGACGUCGUCUUCCUUCCGUAGCUCUACGUCUUUACACACACACCGUAGCGAUGUCUCAUGGAAUGUUUUUUCGCGUUUAACGCAAUACAAUACAACUUUCAGCAACGGAUCUCUUGGCUCUCGCAUCGAUGAAGAACGCAGCGAAAUGCGAUAAGUAAUGUGAAUUGCAGAAUUCAGUGAAUCAUCGAAUCUUUGAACGCACCUUGCGCCCCUUGGUUAUUCCUCGGAGCAUGCCUGUUUGAGUAUCAUGAACACCUCAACUCUCAUGGUCUUCCAUGAUGAGCUUGGACUUUGGGGGUUUGCUGGCCUCGUGGCCGGCUCCUCUCAAAUGAAUCAGCUUGCCAGUGUUUGGCGGCGUCACGGGUGUGAUAACUAUCUACGCUCGUGGUCGUCCACCAGGUAACCCUCAGCAAUGAAGGUUCAUUGGGGCUCAUAAACGUCUCUCCCCAGCGAGGACAACUUUUGAACGUUCGAUCUCAAAUCAGGUAGGACUACCCGCUGAACUUAAGCAUAUCAAUAAGCGGAGGAAAAGAAACUAACAAGGAUUCCCCUAGUAACUGCGAGUGAAGCGGGAAGAGCUCAAAUUUAAAAUCUGGCGUGCC
This 723-nucleotide ribosomal RNA is filed under the name uncultured fungus. RNAcentral's name for it is "eukaryotic LSU rRNA". The stretch from base 215 to 369 matches the Rfam family "5.8S ribosomal RNA". Lineage: Eukaryota; Fungi. The record is from RNAcentral.